AAAUGCUUUGGUCUGCUUUGCGCAGUGGCAGUAUCGUAGCCAAUGAGGUUUAUCCGAGGCGCGAUUAUUGCUAAUUGAAAACUUUUCCCAAUACCCCGCCGUGACGACUUGAAAUAUAGUCGGCAUUGGCAAUUUUUGACAGUCUCUUCGGAGACUGAUAUUUUGUCGUUACCAAAGGUAGAA
Ochotona curzoniae (black-lipped pika) is the source of this 183-nucleotide long non-coding RNA. RefSeq lists it as uncharacterized. Lineage: Eukaryota; Metazoa; Chordata; Mammalia; Lagomorpha; Ochotonidae. The record is from RefSeq and is a predicted model, not a curated record. The transcript is spliced from 3 exons.